Non-coding RNA from Triticum urartu, 74 nucleotides. Lineage: Eukaryota; Viridiplantae; Streptophyta; Magnoliopsida; Poales; Poaceae. The record is from Rfam.
GGAUUAGUAACUCAAUUAGGUAGAGAAUUUCUUUGUCAUAGAAAGAGAUAUCAGUUCGAGUCUGGUCUAGUUCG